Molecule: ribosomal RNA, 253 nt
Filed under: uncultured bacterium
Lineage: Bacteria
Description: partial 16S ribosomal RNA
Rfam family: Bacterial small subunit ribosomal RNA
Source: RNAcentral
UACAGAGGCCUCGAGCGUUAUUCGGAAUCACUGGGCUUAAAGCGUGUGUAGGCGGACUUCUAAGUACCUUGUGAAAUCCCACGGCUCACCCGUGGAACUGCUUGGUAUACUGGUUGUCUUGAGCCUUCUAGGGGCGAGUGGAACAAAUGGUGGAGCGGUGAAAUGCGUAGAUAUCAUUUGGAACGCCAAUGGUGAAAACAACUCGCUGGGGAAGUGCUGACGCUGAGACACGAAAGCCAGGGGAGCGAACGGG